GAGGUGAAGGGACCGCCACUGACUCUGUCCCCUGCAACCUUCCCUGCCCCUGUAACCUACUAUACGUACUGUCCACCGUGACUGCUACCAUUACUCACUUCAUUAACUGACCUCAAUACUACUACUACUACUACUACUACAACUACUACUACUACUACUACUACUACUACUACUACUACUAGGAAGAUACCCAUGUACAUACAAAUGGUAUCAGAAUUGUAAAUACUCGUAUAUGGCAACUGUCUAUUACCGCUCUAUUUCCUGACUGUUUUCUUAGCUCGACUUAGCUCGACUACUUUAACUAACUAUUAUUACUACUACCACCCACCGUCACCACUAUCACCAUCACCACAAUGAUUCACUAUCACCACCACAGCACCAGUUUCCUGCCCAUGUCAUUAUCUGUACUCCAUCCAUUCAUCCACCCAUCAUCGACUCAUUCUCCUCCUCGGGACGGUGAUGGCGAUGGCCCCUCGAUUCUUGAGUUGAAAUGCAGUGGCUACGCUUUUCUGGGCCAUCCUCGCCGGUGCAAUGGAGGGGAGAUUAGCAGGAGGCAGAAGGGAAUGACAGGGCAGGAGAUACGAAGCGAGGGAGGUGGAAGGGUGAGCCGGAAUGACGAGACGGACUGACCUCCCUAACAAAGGCAGGCAGGCAGGGAGACAGCAAGCACGAGGGGAUUUUUGAGUGAGCGGAUGAGUGGCUGAAAGGAGGGUUUGUUUAUUUUGGAUCAUGUCAGACUCUAGGAGGUAACUGAGGGGCGUUAUGAAAGCAGAAACAACAGGAGGACGCAGCGAACGGGAUGGAGACUUUUUUUCUUUGACAGUUCGCGGAUAUGAGUGUGCAAUAUGAAAUACUGCACGUUGCAAUGAUACAGGCAGGUAGGCAGGCAGACAGGCAUGCAGGUAGACGGACAUUGUUAGAGGAAGGCAGUGACUGAGAAAUGAUAUUACGGAGAGAGAGAGAGAGAGAGAGAGAGAGAGAGAGAGAGAGAGAGAGAGAGCAACAACAGGUUACACCGCAAUAGUGAGUUGUAUCUUCCCACGUAUCUGUUGACGUGUUUCAUUAUUCUCUUUAUAAAAUGCCUGUUAUUUUCUUUUUUUUUUCUCUAUAGUUUUUGCGUGUAUUAAUGGCAUGUAUUUGUUAGUGCAGUGUAUAGUGAGUUCCUCUGGGAUAUUUUCAUCUAAAACCCAUAAGACGGUACACGUUGUAAAUCCUGUACCAAACUUUGUACUCAGUGCGCCAUCCCACCUCACUUGCCCCGCCACGUCUACACCUCCUGCCAACCCGAGCCAGUCUUUAUAAAUCCUGGCGAUGAUGACACCGUUUGGGACGACACCAAAAAAUUUACGGGUCUUUAUUUAUAGUGCCCCAAAUUGCUUCCUAAUGACCCGCAGCAAACAAAACAGGAGGUGCAGGCUCGGCGCGGCUCAGCGGCACUCAGCACUCGUCACCAAGGCUCCCUUCAGCCUCUUGACGAUUUUUCUUCAGAGACAUGUAACCCAAGAGUCGAGGGGUUUAGAGAGAGAGAGAGAGAGAGAGAGAGAGAGAGAGAGAGAGAGAGAGAGAGAGAGAGAGAGAGAGAGAGAGAGAGAGAGAGAGAGAGAGA
Molecule: long non-coding RNA, 1606 nt
Organism: Scylla paramamosain (green mud crab)
Lineage: Eukaryota; Metazoa; Arthropoda; Malacostraca; Decapoda; Portunidae
Exons: 2
Source: RefSeq, a predicted model, not a curated record